UGUGCCUGGAGAUUCCCAUGGAGCCUGGCAGGCUAUAGUUCAUAGGGUCUCAAAAAAUCGGACACAACUGAAGCAACCUAACAUGCACACAUGGGAAAGUUAUCAUUGCUAACUUUCAAGGUUAUUAAACAUUAAGAAAUAUUUGGUAAAAAAUAAAUUUCACCUGAUAAACCUCUGUUAACAAAACUGCCUAGUUUCUUAGCUUGACCCAUGGAGACUCUGCUUUUCAUAAUAACACUGCUUAAGGAUACCAGAUCUUUUUAAAGCUGUUUUGAAGAUCAAAAAACCAUCUUUAGAGUUCAUUACUAUUAGCAAAACCUCAGUAACAAAAGUCUGAUCUUUGGUGGUGGAGAUGAGGGGGCAAAUGUGGAGAGAGAGGGAAAGGAUGGUUAUUUACCGAGUUCUAAUUGCCGAGCACUGUGUCAGGGCUUCACAUGUUGCUUUCCCCAUCAACCACAUAUAGUUUAAAAGUGGGUCUUCAGAGCUCCAGGUCAAACAGCAGGCUCUUUAUUUCCAUUUCAGGAAUCCCCGUUGCCUCCUUUAAGAGACAAGAAGACCAACAAAUCCUGUCUCGCUGUUCCUAAGGUACAGAAACUGAAGUCAUUUCUCUCUUCCUUUCUUGGAAAAAUGCUGUUAUGUCUGCAGAGCAUAAGUCUGUAAAAACACAAAAAUUAAUACAUCAUAUCCAUCUUCAAAGUAGCCAUAUUUGGGAAUUGGGAAACUACAGUGAGUAUUUUUCCUGCAGCAAAUCAGAGGCUAAGCCAGACGCCCAAGCCCCAGAAUGCACCUGUGUUCGGCAACUGUAUCUGGGGAGUCACCCAGCAUGAUCUACUGUGCUGGCUCUUUCCAAGAGGAGCCUCAGAAGGGAGGAGAAGAAUGUCUGAGGGCUCGUCUGGGGAGAAAUAAAAGAAAUAAUUGUUCUAAAAAAAGGAGAAAUUGGUAUUUCACCGGCAGCCUAAGAUGCACAGAAGCACUUUAAACUCCUGUGGCUAGCAUCCGUCAUCUGAAAAUCACCAACUUGUUUAAAAAUCCCUCACAGGGGUUGUGCUGCUGCUGUCAGGCAGCCUGAAACCGAGUGUGUCUAGAUACUCAUAUGUCCUCGACGGGGGCCCUGGGGGACUCUGGUGUGCUGCGGCCUGAAUGCCUCUUGCCAACAUUCGUAUGGGAACGGCAGAACAAGAAACUCGAUUUCAGCACAAGUCAGCUGCUAUGGAGAAGGAGCCACGUGGAAGUAAGGUUUCGCCAUCAAGGUUUCAAUGAGCCCCAGGUGUACGGCAAAGGGGGGGGGGGAUUUUUGCCCCAGACAAGGCCCCCUAUUGCAGUGCACACUGUUCCCGGUUCUGGCUUUCUUAACACAGAGACGGAAUGAUCCUGCCUGGAAACAACGCAAGUGUUGUGAUACACAGAGCUGUGGGGUGAUGGAAAUCAAACUAACAGUGGUUUAAGCCUUGAAACUGAGCUAUGAUGAAACAUGGCGCGAGGUGGUUUGGGAAGCUAAAGUGCCUUGACUGACCCAAGCAGGAUUUCUCAGUCAGGAAAGUAUAUGAGGGUCACCUCGACUAGACAGCUGCACCGGACGGGGGUCUUCACGUGAGCUACAGGUGAAAGAGGAGAGAGUUGAGAAGAACAAAACAAGCAGACCAGCACUGAGAAAAGGAAAAAGAGCUUACUAAUGGUUAACUGAAAUGACCUAAGGGAUGGAGGCAUCUGGAGAAAACAGAUAGAAGAACAGAGCCCUUGAGAACAUAAACAGACAGAAACCUAACAAGGGACAAAUUUAGAUUCAAUGAAAUCGUAAGCAAGCCGCCAUCAUGAAACAGAGAGUUGUGGGUCGGACUCAGAGCAUGAGAACAAAGUCUGAAACGGGAGUCCGAGCCUCAGUUACCCUGGGAGAAAAAGCCUCAUGCAAGAAUUCUGGAACCCUGGUAGAGAAGAUAGCUGGAAAUCUCAGCAUUCUUGCCAUUGUUGAAAAUACUAUCCUUCUUCCUUGGUAUCUUUAUCAAGAAAAUUGACCUUGUAUUGCUGAAACCUCUAUCCUACUGAAAAGAAGUGAUGAGAGCAAGAUAGCCUUGUGUUGUUCCUGUGCUUGGGAAUGGCAUUUUAGUCCUUCCCCACUAAGUAAAAUUUUAGCUUAUAAGUUUUUGUAGCUUCCUUUUAUCAGUUGAUAUAAUUGCCUUGUAUUCCUUGUUUUUAUCACACUUGAAAUUGAAUUUUGGUAAGUGCAUUUCCUGGAUUUGUUAAGAUGAUCAUAUAUUUCUUCUGUUUUACCUUAAUGAUAUGGAUUACAUUGAUUGUUUUUUAACUAUUAUUUGAGAAUUGCAUUUCUGAGAUAAAGUCUACCUGCUUAUGAUGUAUCAUCCUAUUUGUAUGUUGCUCACUUUGAUUUGCUAAAAUUUUAUUAAGGACUUGUUAAAAAAUUUUGUUCAGGAUUUUAUAUCUGUGCUCAUGAGGAAUAUUGGUGUUUAGUUUUAUUUUCUUGGAAUGUCUUUGUCUAAUAUUCAUACCAGAGUAAUAAUGGCAUCACAAAAUAUUAGGAAGUUUUUGUUCCUUGCCUAUGAUUUGGGAAAUUUUGAGCAGAGCUGAUAUUUCUUUAUGAAACAUUUGGUAUAAUUCAUCAUUGAAAGCAUCUGCACCCUAGAGUUUUUGUGGGAUAAUUUUUACCUACAUAUUCAGUUUCUUUACUAGAAAAGGGCUAAUUGGGUUCUUAUGACUUCUCAAGUGCUCUGUGGUAGUUUUGGUCUUUUGAAGAGCACUCCACCUAUAUUAUUGAACAUAUUGCCUAGAAUUGUCCAUAACUUUCUCUUAUCUUUUUAAAAUAUCAGUUCUUUGGUAGUACUGUCUCCUCUUCUGCUCAUGAUGUGGAUUAUUUUUAUCUUUUCAUAUCAACCCAAUUACAUGUUUUUAUUUUAUUAAUAUUUUCAACAGCUCUUGGUAGGCAGAUACAUAGUAUUUGUCUUUUUGUUCAUAUAUAUAAAACUGCAAACAUGUUAUUAUUACAUCUUUUUUCACAAAAUGGCAAAAUAGCUUAAAAUAGUUCAGAUAGUCUUAAAAGUGUUGCUGGAAAUCUCAAUGCAAAUAUUACUAUUGAGGAAAAAAUUAUAAAAUUAAGUAGUUAAAACAGUGUCUGUGCAAAUAUGGAGGAUGAAUUUGAAUGUUAAAGUGAAUCUAUAAGUAUCAUGAUUUUGUAAAGAUAGUUAAAAUGUAUUGCAACUUGUAAAUAUAAUGACUUUAAGUUGAAAAAAAUUUUCAUAUUCUUUAAUUCAUUGAUACAAUGUUUUUCAAUAGUGGCUUAAAAUCAUCAGAAUUUCAGCAGAGUAUAAAGAUCAUAAAAUAAUUUAUUUUUUCUAGUACAAAUUUAUACCUUUCCAGUUAGAACUGAUGAAUUUUGCUACUAAAGAGAGGUGAAAUAAAAUAUAUUCUAAAUUUCACCAAGCUAAAGAUAGCUGUAAUUCAAGUUAUUGCAGAGAGAAUAUAAAACAAGUUGUAAAGUUAAUGAUAGUAUGUACAGAAGGAAAGAAAAGUAUAUUAAUUAUCUACUGCUAUGUCAUAAAAUAACCCAAGACCCAGAAACUUAAACCAACUUAUAUUUAUUAUCUCAUGAUUCCUAUAGAUCAGAAAUUUAGGUGUUACUUACCUGGGUAGUUUUAGGCCAGGGUCUCUAAAGAAGUUGUAGUCAAGAUGUUAACCAGGACUGUCGUCAUCAGAAAGCUUGACUAGGGACUGGGGAAUCUGCUUCCAAAACAGCUUACUUUGUCAGGAAGCCUCACUUCUUUUAUGAUUGUUGGAUGAACUCAGGUCCUUGACAUGUGGCCUCUCUAUGUGGCCAUUUGAGUGUUUUCACAAAAUGGCAGCUAGAUUCCCCUGGAGCAUGUGAUCUGAGAGAGAGCAAGGAAGAAGCCUUAUUGCUCUCUAAGACCUAGUCUCAGAAGCCCUAACAUAUUCUAUUUAUUAGAUUUGAGCUACUAAGUCCAGUUCACACCAAGGGGAAGGGAAUUAGUGUUGACCUUUGGAGGAAUGUAAAAAAAACUGAUGGGCAUAUUUUAAAAUCAUAAUACAAAAGCUAUGGUAAAAUUCAUCUAUAAUCUAAUGCUUUGGGAUUUCAGUAUCAUACUGUAUGAAAAGUAAUUAGUAUGAUGUGUGCUGUUAGCUGACAUUUUGCUUUAAAGCUUGACCAAACCACAUUUGGUAUACAGAUAAUAAUAUGUAAAAAAAAAAAAAAAAAAAAUAUAUAUAUAUAUGUAAGUGCUGGGAUGAUGUGUUCAUUCAUCAGUGAAAAGUCAUGUCAUAGAAGAGUUUUAUUUGUGUAGUGGAUGAUCACUUUAUGCACUGUGGUAUAGAUUGUCUAAGAAUAAGUACUGCAUGUUACACCAGUUAUAUGUAUAGAAAUAAGGGUGUUCAUUACACAAAGAAAAACGUUGCUCUUAUUUGCAAACUGCUUAAUUCACAGAAUACAGGUGAUGGUCAACUACAUUAUUUGUAGCAUUCCUUCAAUUUUGAGAGAAAUAGUGACAUUUAAAUA
This is a long non-coding RNA of Bubalus bubalis (water buffalo), 4519 nucleotides long. RefSeq lists it as uncharacterized. The transcript has 8 exons. The record is from RefSeq and is a predicted model, not a curated record. NCBI's taxonomy places the organism in Eukaryota, Metazoa, Chordata, Mammalia, Artiodactyla, Bovidae.